GGAAUAUUGGACAAUGGGCGCAAGCCUGACCCAGCCAUGCCGCGUGUGUGAAGAAGGCCUUCGGGUUGUAAAGCACUUUCAGUGGUGAAGAAAAGCUUGGGGCUAAUACCCUCGGGUCUUGACGUUAACCACAGAAUAAGCACCGGCUAACUCCGUGCCAGCAGCCGCGGUAAUACGGAGGGUGCGAACGUUAAUCGGAAUUACUGGGCGUAAAGCGCACGUAGGCGGUAUGUUAAGUUGGAUGUGAAAGCCCCGGGCUCAACCUGGGAAUUGCAUUCAAAACUGGCAUGCUAGAGUAUGUGAGAGGGGGGUAGAAUUCCAAGUGUAGCGGUGAAAUGCGUAGAGAUUUGGAGGAAUACCAGUGGCGAAGGCGGCCCCCUGGCACAAUACUGACGCUCAGGUGCGAAAGCGUGGGGAGCAAAC
This 423-nucleotide ribosomal RNA is filed under the name uncultured bacterium. RNAcentral describes it as "bacterial SSU rRNA". It matches the Rfam family "Bacterial small subunit ribosomal RNA", at positions 358 to 773 of the family's 1533-position model. The record is from RNAcentral.